Molecule: ribosomal RNA, 509 nt
Filed under: uncultured bacterium
Lineage: Bacteria
Description: bacterial SSU rRNA
Rfam family: Bacterial small subunit ribosomal RNA
Source: RNAcentral
AGAGUUUGAUUCUGGCUCAGGAUGAACGCUGGCGGCGUGCCUAACACAUGCAAGUCGAACGGACCUAUCAUUAACAGAGACUCGGUUGAAGUUGGUUUAGGUAGUGGCGGACGGGUGAGUAACGCGUGGAGAACCUGCCCUGUACUGGGGGAUAACAGUGAGAAAUCACUGCUAAUACCGCAUAAGCGCACGAAACCGCAUGGUUUUGUGUGAAAAACUCCGGUGGUACAGGAUGGCUCCGCGUUGGAUUAGCCAGUUGGCGGGGUAACGGCCCACCAAAGCUUCGAUCCAUAGCCGGCCUGAGAGGGUGAACGGCCACAUUGGGACUGAGACACGGCCCAGACUCCUACGGGAGGCAGCAGUGGGGAAUAUUGCACAAUGGGGGGAACCCUGAUGCAAGCGACGCCGCGUGAAGGAAGAAGUAUCUCGGUAUGUAAACUUCUAUCAGCAGGGAAGAAAAUGACGGUACCUGACUAAGAAGCCCCGGCUAACUACGUGCCAGCAGCUGC